RNAcentral lists this ribosomal RNA (459 nucleotides) under uncultured bacterium. Its description in RNAcentral is "bacterial SSU rRNA". It matches the Rfam family "Bacterial small subunit ribosomal RNA", at positions 29 to 471 of the family's 1533-position model. The record is from RNAcentral.
AACGAACGCUGGCGGCGUGGAUUAGGCAUGCAAGUCGAACGAGAAAGCACCCUUCGGGGUGCAAGUACAGUGGCGGACUGGUGAGUAACGCGUGGGAAACCUGCCUUCGAGUGGGGGAUAACAGUUCUAACGGACUGCUAAUACCGCAUAACGCUGCUGUUCGCAUGUUCAACAGUUAAAGAUGGCCUCUACAUGUAAGCUGUCGCUUGAUGAUGGUCCCGCGCCUAUUAGCUAGUUGGUGAGGUAACGGCUCACCAAGGCAACAAUGGGGUAGCCGGCCUGAGAGGGUGGUCGGCCACACUGGGACUGAGAUACGGCCCAGACUCCUACGGGAGGCAGCAGUGAGGAAUCUUGCGCAAUGGGCGAAAGCCUGACGCAGCGACGCCGCGUGGAGGAUGAAGGUCUUCGGAUUGUAAACUCCUGUCGAGCGGGACGAAUGCCGUGGAGGGUGAACAAUCC